This 107-nucleotide small nuclear RNA is filed under the name Jaculus jaculus (lesser Egyptian jerboa). The record is from RNAcentral. Lineage: Eukaryota; Metazoa; Chordata; Mammalia; Rodentia; Dipodidae.
GUGCUCAUUUUGGCAGCACAUAUACUAAAAUUGGAACGAUACAGAGAAGAUUAGCAUGGCCCCUGUGCAAGGAUGACAGGCAAAUUCAUGAAGCAUUCCAUAUUUUU